CCCUUCUGAGACUGACAGUGACAAC
Molecule: non-coding RNA, 25 nt
Filed under: Cricetulus griseus (Chinese hamster)
Lineage: Eukaryota; Metazoa; Chordata; Mammalia; Rodentia; Cricetidae
Source: RNAcentral